This 71-nucleotide transfer RNA is filed under the name Ovis aries (sheep). It matches the Rfam family "tRNA". From Rfam's summary of the family: Transfer RNA (tRNA) molecules are approximately 80 nucleotides in length. Their secondary structure includes four short double-helical elements and three loops (D, anti-codon, and T loops). The record is from Rfam by way of RNAcentral. Lineage: Eukaryota; Metazoa; Chordata; Mammalia; Artiodactyla; Bovidae.
UUCCUGGUGGUUCAGUGGCUAACACUGCGCUCCCAAUGCAGGGGGUCCAGGUUCGAUCUCUGGUUAGGGAA